UCCUAACUCCCAUCUGUUAGAAAAUGGUAGUUUCAUGCACGUAGUUUAAAAAUAUUUUAUAAAUAAUUUAUGUGCAACGAAAGUAAAUUAAAUUAAAAUCUUUUAACUUAAAAUGCACCAGAUCUCAUUUGUAAAUCACAUGCUAGAUCUUGAUACGAACAUGUCACUAUGAUCUGAAAUCUAAAAUCAAAAACAAAAGUUAUC
This 204-nucleotide long non-coding RNA is filed under the name Elaeis guineensis (African oil palm). RNAcentral's name for it is "long non-coding RNA (EGUI_LNC012374)". Lineage: Eukaryota; Viridiplantae; Streptophyta; Magnoliopsida; Arecales; Arecaceae. The record is from RNAcentral.